AUCGUGAGAUGCUUUCUCUCAAAACCCAGCCAUCAUGCUGUAAACGAGCACAAACAGGCUGUGGAGAGGCUCACAAGGUGAAGAACCAAGGCCCCUGGCCCAGGACUCUGGCUGAGCUCCCAGUGGACAGCACCAACUUACCAGCCCUGUAAGUGAGCCAAAGUGGGUACUUUAUUUUUCUCUAGCUUUAUUGUGGUGUACUUGACAAAUAAAAAUUGUGUAUAUUUAAGGUGUACAACCCGAUGUUUACUGUGUAUGCUACACUGAAAUGAUGACCAUAAUCAAGCUAAGGAUCUUACCUGUUACCCUCAAAGAGUCUUAAGGAAGGAAAUCUUGUUAUUUUCAACAAUGUGGCCAGACCUUAAGGACGUUCUAUUAAAUGAAAUAAGCCAGACACAAAAAGAUAAGUACUUCAUGAUCUCACUUAUAUUAUGUGAAGCUAAAACAGUCAAACUCAUAAAAGCAGAGAGUAGUAUGCUGGUUUCCAGGGCCUGGGGUGGGGAAAUGAUUGAUGGGUAUACAAUUUGAGUUAGGCAGGAUAAAUCAUUUCUGGAGAUCUAAUGUACAACAUCGUGCCUGUAGCUCAUAAUACUGUAUUGUAUAGUUGACAUUGGCUGAGAGCGUUAAUGAUCAUCGUUCUUGCCACAUAUACACACAGAAGUGUGUCAUAUGCCCUCGGUCAGGCAGCACUAGGUAUAGAGAAGAGCCAUCCCUACCAGUCCCUGCACAAGCUGUAGAUUUGUGAGCAUAAUAAGCCAUUACAUUUUGAGGGUGGUUUAUUUAGUAAUUAUAAAUAACUGAUAUCAUAUAACGUAUCAGUCUUAUCCUUACUGUUUAUUUCUAUGUGUAUGUUGUUCUUAAAGAAGUUCUUUCCUAUGUUAAGAUCACACAUAUCUAAAAGUUUGUUAUGCUUCAUAGUUAGAGGGAAAGACAAAGAGGAAGGAGGGGGCAUGGAUGUGUGUGUGCGUGAAGUGGGACUCUUAUUAAUUUUUUCCCCAUGUAAACACUUUUUCCAACACAGUUUAUUGGCAAGUCUAUCUGUAGAUGGGAACCUCUCUGUUCUGUAUACAGUUGCAUAUACUUGUGAGUCUAUUUCUAAGUUUCUUAUCCUCUUCCUCAGUUUGUUUGCUUAUUCCCAUGCCAAUAUCACAUUGUCUCAUUUACUGUAGCUUUAGGGUCAUUCUUCACAUCUGUCAGAACACAUUUCUCCAUUUGGUCUUUUUACUCACAAUUGUCAUAACAAUUUUUGGCCUUUGGUUUUUCAGUAUAAAUUUUAGUAUUAUCCUGUCAAGUUCUAUAAGAUAACUUGUUGAUAUUAUUUAUAGAUUAAUUUGGAGAGAACUGUGAGUAUGCCACUUAGUUUUCUUAUUAUAAAUGGCAAAAGAAUGGACAUACAAAUCUGUAGAACAGAAUACAUAGGCUAGACAUACUAAUGCAUAUGUAAAAAUUAGACAUUCUUAAUGUUGCUGGUGUAAAGGAGUACACUUGUCUUUUUAUUUAGGUAUGCUUUAUAUGAAAUGAAGUAAACCUAUUUUAAGGGUGAAGUUUGUUGAGUUCUGACAAAUGUAUACAUGGUUGUAACAUACAUGGCAAUUAGAAUAUUACACCCCAGAGAGUUCCCUCAUGCCUCUUUCAGGUAGUUCUUUCCUAUACAAAGGCAGCCACAGCUCAGCUAUCACCAUAGAAUAGUAUAAUAUGUUCCUAAUCUUCAUGUAAAGGAAAUAAUUCAAGGUGUAUAUUUUUUAAAAAUCUAGGUUUUUUUUUUUUUGGUUAUUACAGCUCGUAUGAGACAGAGCCAUGUUGUUGGCAGAUAACAAAGGGUUUUUCAAUUUUAAUUACUGAGAAGUACUGCAUGGUAUAAAUAUACCAUAAUUUACUCAUUCUCCUUAUUGAUAGAUGAUUGAAUUAUUUCCAGUUUUUGACUAUUACAAAGUUAUGAAGAAUAUUCUUGCAUAAGUCUUUAUGUGGAUAUGUUUUCAUUUCUCACAAGGAAAUACAUGGAGUGAAAUUUCUGGGUCUUCAGGAUGAUAUUUAUUUACCAUUUCAAGAAACUACCAAAUUAUUUUCCAAAAUAAUCAUUUUCUACAGCAAAGUGACCCAGUCAUGCAUACAUGUAUACAUUCUUUUUCCCACAUUAUCCUCCAUCAUGUUCCACCAUAAGUGACUAGAUGUAGUUCCCAGUGCUAUACAGCAGGAUCUCAUUGCUUAUCCUUUACAAAUGCAAUAGUUUGCAUCUAUUAACCCCGGAUUCCCAGUCAGUACCUCUCCCUUUCCCUCCCCCUUGGCAACCACAAGUCUGUUCUCCAAGUCCAUUAGUUUCUUUACUAUGGAGAGGUUCGUUUGUGCCAUGUAUUAGAUUCCAGAUAUAAGUGAUAUCAUAUGUAUUUGUCUUUCUCUUUCUGACUUAUUAUCACUUAGUAUGAGAGUCUCUAGUUCUGUCCAUGUUGCUGCAAAUGGCGUUGUUUUGUUCUUUUUAUGGCUGCAUAGUAUUCCAUGGUAUAUAUAUACUACCUCUUCUUAAUCCAUUCAUAUGUUGAUGGAGAUUUAGGUUGUUUCCGUGUCUUGGCUAUUGUGAAUAGUGCUGCAGUGAACAUGUGGAUGCAUGUGUCUUUUUCAAGGAAAGUUUUGUCCAGAUACAUGGCCAAGAGUGGGAUUGCUGGGUCAUAUGGUAGUUCAGCCAGUUUUCUGAGGUACUUCCAUACUGUUUUCCAUAGUGGUUUUACCGUAUGUCACUAUUUUAAUUUUCAACAUUCUAGUUGAGUAUGUGGUAGUAUCUCAUCAGUUUUAAUUUGCAUUUUUCUCAUUAUUAGUUACAUUGAGUAUAUUUUCAUGCACUUGUUAAGUGUUUCUUCCCGUGAUGUCCAUUUUUAAACUUGGAUUUGUCUUCUUGUUUUUGAAUUAUAGCAUCUGGAGUUCCCACUGUGGCUCAGUGAUAAUGAACUUGAGUAGUAUCCAUAAGGCUUCAAGUUCAAUCCCUGGCCUCACUAGUGGGUUAAGGAUCUAGCUUUGCUGUGAACUGUGGUAUAGGUUGCAGACAUGGCUUGGAUCUGGUGUUGCUGUGGCUGUGAUGUAGGCGGGCAGGUACAGCUCUUAUUCAACGCCAAACCUGGGAACUUGCAUAUGUUGUGGGUGUGGACCUAAAAAGACAAAAAAAAACACAAAGAAUUAUAGGAACUUUAAAAAUUAAUCUUGGAGUUCCCGUCGUGGCGCAGUGGUUAACGAAUCCGACUAGGAACCAUGAGGUUGCGGGUUCGGUCCCUGCCCUUGCUCAGUGGGUUAACAAUCUGGCGUUGCCGUGAGCUGUGGUGUAGGUUGCAGACGUGGCUUGGAUCCCGCAUUGCUGUGGCUCUGGUGUAGGUCGGUGGUUACAGCUCCGAUUUGACCCCUAGCCUGGGAACCUCCAUAUGCCGUGGGAGCGGCCUAAGAAAUAGCAAAAAGACAAAAAAAAAUUAAUCUGGACAUCAUUUAUUGCAAUAAUUUUCCUUUUUUUGGUGGUGUCUGUCAAAGAUCAGAUCUUAAACAUUUUAUGAAAUCCAUUUUAUCAUUUUUUUCCUUUAUUUCUAAGACUUGGGCAUGGUAUUUAGGGAAAUUUUUUAUAGACUAUAUUUUUUUAAGAGCACAUUAAAUUUCACAAUGAUAUUGAGAGGAAGAUACAGAUAUUUCCCCUAUACCGCUUAUCCUCAACAUCCCCUCUCAGAGUGGCACACUUGUUACAAUUGAGGAACCUCCUGUGGCACAUUAGUCACCUAAGGUCCAUAGUUUAUGUUAGGGUUCACUCUUGGUUUUGCACAUUCUGUGGGUCUGGACAAAUUCAUUAGGACCUGCCUCCAUCAUUCUACAUUGUACAUGUAGAUACUCUGUUUCUGCUGCUCUUAGAUAGAAUGUUACUGUAUCUAGGGAAUCAUUGCCUACACCUACCUUAUGAAUAUUUCCCCCUAUAUUUCCUUCAGUAAGUUUUAUGUUUCAAGUUAUUUAUUGUGUAUGUUGUGAGGGAAGACUCGGUUCGUAUUUGUUCCAAAUUCAUAUGCAAUUUUUCCUACACCAUUCAGUGAAAAGAUUGUCCUUUCAGAUUGAAUUAACCUGGCACCUUAAGCAAAUUCAGUUGAGCAGAUAUGCAUGACUCUGUGUCUGCACUUUGUUCUGUUCUGUAGAGGUAUAUGUCCAUCCUUAUGCCAUGGCCACACUGUCUUGAUUCUUAAGAUUUUGUGAUGUCUUGAUACAAGUCAGUGUCAGUCUUUCAGCCUUGUUCUUUUUUUGAAAAAAUUUUCAGGUUAUUCUGUGUCCUUUGUAUUUUGAUGUAGAUUUAAGAAUCAGGUUGUCAAUUUCUGUUCCUACCCAAAAUCUGAAACCAGCUUUUUCAUAUAACUUGUCUUAUGUUUGAUUAUAACAAAAGCAAAAGUUCUGGGCUAUUGACAGAAUGAAAGUGAGAUGGUUAAAUUUUUGUGCCAACUUUGCUUGGCUGUGGUGCCCAGUUGUUUGGUCUGAUAAGUUUAGAUGUUGCUCUGAGGUAUUAGGUAGAUGUAACCAACAUCUACCAUCAUCUGAUUUUAAGUAAAGAAGAUUGUCCUCAAUAAUGUGGGUGAGCCUUGUUCAGUUAAUUGAAGGCCUCAAGAGCAAAAGCUAAAAUUUCUUAAAGAAAUUCUGCCUCGAGUCUGCAAUGUAGAAAUCCUGUCUGAAUUUCUACAGAAUUCAGACUUCAGAACUGUAACUUAUAUAUAAAGAUAAAAAAUUCUCCUUUUUUUUCCACUUAUUUACAACUCACAGUAAAAAUUUCCAUUAACUUACUAAGUGUGGUAUAAGUCUGAGAGAAGGGGAAAGGUGAGCUUUUAUAAAGAACAAAAGUUAGCAAACUGCCCUAAGAAGUAUGGUUUUUCAGUAUAGAAAGAUAGGGUUAGGGUUAGAAUGAAAAUACAACCUCUUCUCAGUCUGCAUUUUUAUUGAGCAUUUCCGUGUAACCAGUCAUACCUUCUUUUCGUGCAUCCAUGCCAACUCUGUGAGAGACUCUGGUGCCUGGCAAGAAUUCAUGGUUUGGUAAGACAGUCACACAAAUAGCAUGAAUUGCAUGCUGUGACAUGGCUAAGUAAAGGUUUUAAGAGGCAUGGAUUGUUCUUUAGUGAAGCGCAAGAAGUGUGUUAUUAGUGGUAGGAGAUAUUAAAGUAAGGAGCCGAGAAAAUGGUGAGACGCCUCAGCUUUUCACCUGCUCAUGGCUGACAGGGUCAGGCCUUGCAUGUGCCACAAAGCUUUCUGAAGGAUGAUCUAGGUAUCAGGGGUUCCCUCUACUUGCUCACUUCUCAAGUGUAGAAUCUUUCUGACUAGAGUCUGAGAGUGAAAGGUCCCAAGGGACUUAAUCCCGUUGGAGAAAUACUUGUUGCUUUUGUGUGGAUAU
RNAcentral lists this long non-coding RNA (5386 nucleotides) under Sus scrofa (pig). Its description in RNAcentral is "lncRNA (ENSSSCG00000056896.1)". Lineage: Eukaryota; Metazoa; Chordata; Mammalia; Artiodactyla; Suidae. The record is from RNAcentral.